This is a long non-coding RNA of Mus musculus (house mouse), 4192 nucleotides long. RefSeq annotates it as predicted gene, 30687. The record is from RefSeq and is a predicted model, not a curated record. The transcript is spliced from 3 exons. NCBI's taxonomy places the organism in Eukaryota, Metazoa, Chordata, Mammalia, Rodentia, Muridae.
AAGAGUGGAGAUGUGGGCAGGGACGAUGAGGUAGAAGCAGUCCUUCAGUUCGCCAGAAAGAAGAGCACAGUAAGAUUUCUCAGUCUGAGGAACCUGGUGAAUGAGUCUCCCAAGAACAUGAGCCCUUCUUCCUCCUCAGACAGAAACUGAAUUGUUGGGUCUGCCUACAGUGAGUGAAAAUCAAAACAGCCUGCUUCUCUCCGAUUUUCUUUAAGUGUUGUGAUGUCUGUUCCAUUUAGAAAGAACUAGGAACUACCCUUUGAAAGAAAACGUGGGAUUCAGGAGCCAGUAGGAGCAAUUUCUGUUAAUGUACACUGAAUUCCUGCGACUAUCCACACACCUCAGUUGGAGGUUUGACUGACCGAUGAAGAGGGUGAAGUAUAUCACAGAUCGUAUAACAUUACCAUAAAGAGUACCAGUGCUCAACAGAGGCUCUAAAGACAGAAGAAUACAAGCAAAACUGGGCUCAUCUACCAUAUUUCUCAGUGAGCUUGUGUUCCAUGAAACCCUGUGUUAAUAAAUAUAUCAUGAUAGAAUAACUUGGGGAAGGGGGAUAACAUUUGAAAUGUGAAUAAAUAAAAUAACCAAUAAAAAUAAAAAUAUUUAAAAAAUAAAAUAUAAUAGUAACUUUGGGUUACUAAAUUCAUCAUAUCACUCUCCUAAAUAGCCUUUCACUAGGUUAAUUCAUAUGAAAGAGAAUACAUCAUUUAACAUUGCUCUAGACCACCCAUACCCGGCAGGAUUGUGUAGAGCUGUGAUUCUCUUCCUAACACUUCAGCCUUUAAUACAGUUGCUUAUGUUUUGGUGACCCCAAUCAUAAAAUUACUUUUGUUGCUACUUAAUAACUGUAAUUUUGCUACUGUUAUGAAUUGUAGUGUAUCUGAUAUACAGGAUAUCUUAUAUUGAAUGGCUAAGAAAGCAUCAUUUUACCCCCCCCCCCAAGGGGUUGCCAUCAACAGGUUGAGAACAGCUUUAUCUACAGGAACUGUAAGUGUUUUUCAGACUUCAGUCUUUAGUUCAGUAUUUAGAAAGGGAUCGACACCAGGGAUUUGUAAACAGACAGGCCAACUGGUCAACAUGUGAGGACUUUAACUUCUAUCAGAGAUGAAGUGAUGGAGCUCAAUUGUGGCAUGCCACAGAGCCUACUCCUCCUCCUCCUCUUUGGGGCUUGGUUAGUCUCCAUUGUAACAGCUACAACCCAGAGAUGUUGUAGAGAACAUUAAGUUCUUUCCAAGACAGUCAUGAGUUAGCCUCUUCAUGGUGCUUGUAUUAACUGAGGUUGGGCUACCAUGCAUAUCAGGUGCCUUAGAGGAAGCUUGUAAGAGUUAUUUAUCGGUGGCUAAGGUUAGAGUCUAUGUGAUAGGAAGGUUAAAUGAAAGAGAAAAAAAAAGAGAAAAUGAAAUUAGUAGAGAGAAUGGUCCAGAGGCCAAUUUGCUGGAGGCAGAAAGUGCCAGAGACCUGGACUCCAUUUAACUAAAGCGAUGGGAACACCUUCGUUGUUGAAUGUACACAUUCAAGGUCUGGUGCCUCUGCUGACAGAAUUGCAAACACCCAGCCUAGAGGGCAAUGACUGAUGGCUUCUAUGGAAUUGAAAUCCAGCAGGGUGUGAAGUAGGUAUAGCACCUCUUCAGCAUCUGCACUGUACAAUCACCACAUUGAAAGGUAAGUAAGUCCCAUGCAAGCUUUGCAGAUAUUCAUGAGCCAAACAGCUUUCUCCUGCACAGUCUGGCUAUGCCUAAUAUAAGAACGAAAAACAACAUGAACUUGAUUAUCUGAAAACAAGGAAAAAAGUGGAAGAUAAGGAGGGUCAUGUGAUUUACCCUUCACCAUACUGUAGAAAAGGGGAGGGUGUGGCGACAAAGGAGAAGGGAGGAAACAUGUGCCGUAUGCAUGCAAUUAAAAUUUCUAAAAGAAACCUGGUCAUCGCAAAUAUCUGUAUGAGCAAAGCUCCCUGGGAAUCUCCCGAGACCUUGGGAAGCUCACUGGACACCUUAGCAUGUGCAUCCCCCCAGUAGGGUUGGUAAGAGGGAAAGGGAGCAAAGAGCUUACUAAGCACUGCCACGUACUAUGUGCUCUCAAGCAAGAUCCCCUUGAGGAACUGUAGUUGGUAAGUUUGGAACAAGCAGGCUCUGUUCUCUCAAGUCCCACUGUGCUGAGGAGCAGUCCCCUCACAUGCCUGUGUGAUCCAUGCGGCAUACAGAGGUUGGAGGAAUGUGUCAAACAGAAUAUAUUUAGCAGUCUUCUAGAGAGGUGGUCACAACAGAUGAUGUAAAUCUCAAACGCCUGAUUGGACCAUUUUAAGGAACAAAUUGGUUAAAAAAAAUUAGAAACCAUCAAGAGUGAUUAAGCCCAAAUUGAUGCUGAGGCAGCAAAAAAAAAAUGUAAAAUGUAAACUAUACUAUUAUCAGCUACAGUCCUGAUGCCCCAGUUAACAAUAUACUAUUAUUAACUGUCAUCCAAUGCCUUGCUUCAAGUCACCAGGUACAUUCAACCUACAUAACUCCAUCUUUAAACACUUGGACCUACAUCUCUUCAUAUUCUCCUACCUUCAGCCACCAUUUUUUCUCUACUUUUGUAUAUUUGACUUGGUGUUUCAAAUCCCACAAUGUGUUUAAGAACACACAAUGGUUUGCUUUUUUCUAUGCAGUAUUUGACUUAACAUAGCAAUCUCCAAAUUAAUAUAUGUUGAUACAAAUGUAACACUCUUCUCUUUCAACCCUGACCAUUAUACAUACUACAAAACACAUAAUCAUAUAUAUGCACACACAUAUAGAUAUUUUUACCCAAUCACCUGUCUAUGGGCACAUAUUGUUACCAUAUCUUGGUUGUGGUGGACAAUGCCAUGACCAAGAGGGAGUGCAGAUCAUUCCACAGAGUCAGUUCUAUUCCUUGGGUGUGUAUCUAGAGGAAGGGUUGCUCAUUAGGUUGCAGCUCUAUUUUUCAGAGUUUGAGGAAGCACCAUUCUGUUUUGCACACUGCACUGGUACCAGUGGCAUUCAGGGGUGGGACACAGAUCAAGACCCACCUCCUGCUCAGAACGGUUGAAGCUACUGAUUCCAGUAACUCAGGUAAGGUGCCACCAUGGCAGGUAAGCACUUCAUUGAUGCCAAAGGAGCAGGAAAUUGGAACUGAUAUUCUCUCUGUUAGACUUUUGCUGAACAAAGUAAAUGUAGUUCUUUAAGAGAAAGGAAAUCGAUCCUACAAAGGUGAAUUGCCUGCCUCUGUAACCAUCUGUGUGCCACUGCGCCUGAAGUCUUCACAAAGAUGGCAGGCCUGUAGCUUUAAUUGUUUUAAGAUUAAGGGCUCUUUCUUCCUUUAACUUAACAAAGAGGGAAUCUACUUUCACAAAGCUUAGAAUUACUUAUCCCAAAUCCUACAGGGGACUGUGGUCCAGGCCUCCCAAUUCAAGCCUCUUGAUCGGACACAUUUCUGCCCUUUCUCCUGAGAUGGGCCACUCCCCAAAUGCUCAUUAACCAUUUCACUGGACUUAAAAGCCCAAGUUCAACUUACUUCCAGGUAAGAACACUUACCAAGUCCCCUGUCUUUAAGCAACAGCUUCCACUUCUAUAAAAAGAAGACGCCCUUUUCCAAAGCAGUCAUAGGAUCUGGUGAGAACUUGCAUGUCUCAAGAAAUAAUGUAGACAUUUAAGGUAUUAACUUAUGCUGUUAGUGUUGUAAUUCCUAAGAGUAGAUGGAAGCUAUGGAGAUGGGAUUUUAAGGCUGAGUGAAAAAUGUACUGACACUUAAAGCCAGACUAAGUUUCAGGGUAGACAACUUAUUUGUUCAAUUAACUUAUGAAGUUCACUUUCUAUCUCACAAAUCAAAAAACUCAUCACUAUGGCUGGAAUACUUAUUCCCACCACAGUUCAUAUGUUAAAAUCCUAAGCAAGAGGGUAAUGAUAUGAAGUACGGUAAAGCAAAUGAGUGGCUGGGGGAUUCCUCAGUGUGUAAGAACACUUGCUGUGUCAGAGGACCUGACUUCAAAGUCUCAGCACUCUGGUGGGGGAUGGAGACAGGAGGGUUUCUAGGGCUAGCUGGCCGCCAGCCUAGUCCCAGGUUUAAUCAGACACACUGUCUCAAAGGAAUAAAGUGGAAAGUAGUAACAUCUGCUAGGCCAUCCUCCCCCACCUUCUGUUCACACACGAACACACACACACACACACACACACACACACACACACACACACACACA